GGAGGUAUAGCUCAGUGGUAGAGCACUUUCCUAGCUUGUGAAAUCCUAGGUUUAAAUUCUAGCACCACCA
RNAcentral lists this transfer RNA (70 nucleotides) under Mesocricetus auratus (golden hamster). It matches the Rfam family "tRNA". From Rfam's summary of the family: Transfer RNA (tRNA) molecules are approximately 80 nucleotides in length. Their secondary structure includes four short double-helical elements and three loops (D, anti-codon, and T loops). The record is from Rfam by way of RNAcentral. Lineage: Eukaryota; Metazoa; Chordata; Mammalia; Rodentia; Cricetidae.